Long non-coding RNA from Dalotia coriaria, 1966 nucleotides. RefSeq lists it as uncharacterized. Lineage: Eukaryota; Metazoa; Arthropoda; Insecta; Coleoptera; Staphylinidae. The transcript is spliced from 2 exons. The record is from RefSeq and is a predicted model, not a curated record.
CAGUACUUGUCGUUCCCUUGCAAUCCGAUGAGCGCUGCAUUGUUUAACGUUUUAACGAAACCUUACGAAUAUCUUGGACCAGUUGUGAACUGCAUGCUUCUUCCAGAAGGAUUCGAUAGAAAAUGGUAUUUCCAGUAAAGGAAAAACAUCUUCAACGAUUUCAUUUUCUAUUAAAUUUUGACAGGCCAAGAGGUAUUUAUUUAUUCUUAUUUUGCAAGGUGAAGUGUUACAAUUAUAACACUGUAACACUGAAAUGGAAAUAAGUAUAGGUAAGUUUACUUGAAUAUUAACGUGUUUUAUUUAUAAACACUGUAGUGUAAAGUAUGCUUUACAAACAACAUGUGUGUUAACUAAGCUUCAGUAGGUUGACGCAAUCGACACAAUUAUAUAUAAAAUAUUUAUAAUGUUUUUAUUAAAUUAAUGUUAUAACUUAUUUUAAUACUUUAUCUUACAGUGAAUAUUUAAAUUAAGCGCAGUGUUGUGAACACCAAUUAUUUAAUUAACUAAGGUAUACAGUAAACUUUUACGAAGACUCAAUCUUAUUACAUCCCAAAGCCAAUAAAUUCUUUUCGUAUGUCGAAAAAUAUUGAAAGUAAAAGUAAAUUUCGUGUAUGUGUAUUUCAACAUUGUGAAUUUUUAGUUUCGUCUUCUCAACUACGUGUUUAUCAGUACGUUUGUGUAUAAACAACUUUUUUGUUCGACGGAUUCGUGAUAUUGCUGCAUACCUGCCUUGUACCCGGCUACGCGUGCGGCACACGGCAGUUGUUUUACCGCGUGGUCCGCGAGCGUGUCUCUCUAAUCGUCACGCGUUUUGAGGUUUUAAUUGAGGAUUAAUCGUCGUGUAUUCUUUCGGCCAUCGGCAAAAUAUUCGCAAUGGGCAUGUGUGCCUGUUUUGUUUAAUGAUUUAUGGCGGUUAGAGUCUUCUUAUGUAAGAAAUAAGUGUCCGUUAAUCCCUGCGCGAGUUUUCAGUUGAUAGAAUAUAUUACAGGAUAGAAAUUCUCCUCAUCAAUGCACAGGUGGGUGGAUAAUUAAAAUUUUUCGCAGAAAGUUAAGGCGGUUUAACUUAAAUUGACUUAAAUUGUGGUCGACCACGCUUACUUUGCCGUCGGCCGUCGGUUCGGUCAUGUUUUCAAUGAUCACGUAUACAUUUUUAAUCGAAUUGCAUCAUUAAAUUAAUAAUUUCUUGUUGAAAUAAAAUCUUGAACGGUUUUUCGUUUUCGCAGUCUCAGUAUAUCUUAAUAUUUACAAAAAAUAGUUAUUUUUAUCGCCUUUAACCACUGUGUUGCUACGCGCCGUUGCUUGCCGUCUGUUGAUUUAGAUGUUUUCCGCCGGAUAUUCUAUCAAUUUGUAAUGAUGCUUCACCCGUCGGCUACUUUAUACAGUUGGUGCUACCAUCUAUUAAUAAAUAUAUAUGCACAAUAUAUUAAAAUGUAAGUGUUUUAUUUUUGUAGCACCCUUUUGCUCAAUUUUUCGAUGCUUUUCGGGUAAAAUCUCUGAUUUUAUAUUAAAAUAUUGUUGUUAAUUUGUAAAUUUCCAUCUUCGUAUUGUGAAUAUUGACUCCCUUUGAGUUUCUAAAAUUUUCUUUUUGUACACCCUGUAUAUUAGUUUUCCUAACAGCACGUAGAAAAUCACCUUUAGUUGUGAGUUUUGAGUGUUCUCUGCUUUGAACAUGCAAUUUUCUAUUCUAGAACACCCUGUAUAUAUGUUUUCCUUUGCGUUCGUGAAAAUUUUGCUUUAGCUGUCGUUUUUAGUAUUUUCCCGUUUGCACUUUGAAUUUCCUUUCUGAAACACCCGGUAUAUUAGUUUUCAUUUUCAAUCACAUAGUAAAUAGGUUAUUCGCUAAUUUCAUUAUUCCGGUAGAACUUUACAAAGUAGUACUUGUACUGCUUCAAUAUGGCGCCACGUAUUCUGCUGACUUAUAAAUUAUAAACUUGUAUUCUAUUGUUAAUAAAGAAAUAGUAAGAUA